UGAGAAUCUGCCUUCAGGUUCGGGACAACCACUGGAAACGGUGGCUAAUACCGGAUGUGCCUUACAGUAAAAGAUUUAUCGCCUGAAGAUGAGCUCGCGUCUGAUUAGCUAGUUGGUAAGGUAAAGGCUUACCAAGGCGACGAUCAGUAGCUGGUCUGAGAGGAUGACCAGCCACACUGGGACUGAGACACGGCCCAGACUCCUACGGGAGGCAGCAGUUAGAAUUC
Molecule: ribosomal RNA, 227 nt
Filed under: uncultured cyanobacterium
Lineage: Bacteria; Bacillati; Cyanobacteriota
Description: partial 16S ribosomal RNA
Rfam family: Bacterial small subunit ribosomal RNA
Source: RNAcentral